Molecule: long non-coding RNA, 488 nt
Organism: Cydia splendana
Lineage: Eukaryota; Metazoa; Arthropoda; Insecta; Lepidoptera; Tortricidae
Exons: 3
Source: RefSeq, a predicted model, not a curated record
UAUCGUUCCACGAUUCCGUAUGAGUUAGCGUGUAUUCCUUAUUGUUUUAUUCCUGUUACUUGUUGUUAUUUGUUAUUGAACUUAGUGUUUUGUGUGAUGCAAGUCGUUUCGUACUAACGCACGUGUGCGUACGUACUUUAUGUUUGAAAAUCCCUUAGAAUGGGGAACAAGAAGGGACGAAAAUCUAGUGCAUCAGUGAGAUUGAAGCGAAAACGAAAGCAAACAUGCUCCGGAAUGUCGUUACAAAGCUGCUGCACAGCCACCUGAUCCACAUGACCAAAUUGACAGUGAAGUGUGUCAAUCUGCUAAAGAAACCACAAAUCAACCUGAACCAUCUUUUUCUGCUUAUGUAGACUAUUUGAGUGAAGACACUGAAGGAAAUGAUUUUAAUAUAACACAUGAAAAUAUACCUACUGGCCCUGAACAGUAAGUAAAGAUUUUAUUUUAUAUUUAUUACAUGGGUUCAAAACAUUGACAUAUAUCUAAAG